CUCCUCUUCGAAUUCUCGUCUACGAUCUCCAGAGACAUGCCUUUUUUUCGAAUGUGGAAUUUUUUUGGUGUUCAGCGUAAAGAUUGUCAUUGAAACGUCAUUAUCUUCACAAAAUUGAAACACACAUUCUCCAUAAAUUGCAGCGUUACAAAGCUUAUCAGCGCACGAACCAUCAAAUUUGAUUAUAAAUUUUUCUUCAUUGUCAUUACUAUCAAGUUUAUAAAUUUUUUGACUUUUGAAACUAUAUGCACAAGUAAAAUCAGGAUCUUGAUCUUCACACUCACUAAUUUGACGUGAACUUUCACUAUCCUUGGAGGAAGUAGUUUCAUUUUCAAUUGUCUCUGCAAAAUUUGAAUUUCGUCCUUGUUGAUACAAAUUGAAAAUAUCAUUUCUAUUUUGACGACAAUCAAAAUACAAAGAAAUUGGAGUCUUUAGAUAUUUUCCAGAGUCAAGUUUCCAAACAGCGCAAAUUUCUUUCCAGAUUGGAUCGCCUUUCGGUUUCAAUGUUCCAUCGUCAAUACAAAUAUCAAAAUCUUGUAUCCUUUUUAAAACUUCAACAAAUGAAAUAGCAGCCCAAGAUGUCAUAUUUAUUACAGUUUAUUAAUAUAAUUAAAUAAUAGACGAAUUGAAUAAAUAAAAAAAUAAUCGAUUGCAUAUAAAAAAAUUGUAUUUAUAAAAUGGCGAUGGGAACAAUUUUAACAGUAGUCAUUGUUACUUUGAUAGUGUUUUGUUUUUGGUAAAAAAUUAAAAUGGGCGAUCCCCUUUAGAUUUGAAACAGAUUUUCGAUCUAAAACAAAUUUUAAAUGAUGAAAUUUUUUAUGAUAAAAAAAAAAAAUAAUUAUUCGUUUGUUUACAAAUUAAUUAAUGAAAUUUCUACUUCUUAGAAAAAAAGAGUUUAAAUUAUUGAAAUUUUUCAUUUUUAUGUGAUAGAGGAAUCGUAUUAUUUUUUUAUUCAUUUUCAGAAACAUAAAAGAAUGAUUUAAAUUAAAAAUCUUAAUUAAAUAAAAUAUAAUGUUACUUAAUAAAAAAAUUCGUAAUUGAGAUAGUAAAAAAAAAAAAAAAAAGUAAACAACUAAAAAAUUCAAUAAAAUAAUCAUAAAUAAAAUAAUUUAGAUAGUUUAACGAAAUUUAUUUCACGUAAUAUUGAUAAUAAAUAAAUGAAAAUAAUAAGUAAAUGAUUUGAUAAUCUACUAAAAUUAAAACGCAUGAUUUUAAGUCAAUAGAGCAAAAAUAUAUUGAAAAUGGAAUUUCAGAUCGCACUUUAGACGUAUAUAAUUUACCACAAGAAGAUGUUGAUGAGUGGUACUCAGUAAUUUUUAAAAUAAUUAAAGCUCAUUUACGUUAUCCUGUAUUAAUGGUUAAAAUUAAUGAUUUCAAACAAUGCUUACAAAAAUUAAGAAUGGAAAAUGAAUAAAUUAAAAGUUUAUAUGCAGUACUUUAUGCUUAAAACGUUCAUCACUAAUUAAUAGUUUAUCGUAAGAAAUUACAUUAAUUCCUACAUUGAAGUCAUGUUGUUGGACAGAUAUAACAGUAUCAAUCAAUGUUAAAUCAUCAUCAUGUAGCGGAACCAACAUUAUUAAUGAAGUCGACAUUAUUGUGGAGUAUUAGUAAAAAGUAUUUAUUCGAAUCAAAUCUUGGCAAAUUUAAUUUCAUAAGAUAUAUGGUCGUAACUUUGCUACAAAAUAUAUAUGAUAACGAAGAACAUUAACAAAAAUCUGUUCAUUAAUUGAAUUGAAUUUAAUUAUUUUAUAUUUAUAUAUUAAAUAAAGCCAUAAUU
This is a long non-coding RNA of Microplitis mediator, 1777 nucleotides long. RefSeq lists it as uncharacterized. Lineage: Eukaryota; Metazoa; Arthropoda; Insecta; Hymenoptera; Braconidae. The record is from RefSeq and is a predicted model, not a curated record. The transcript is spliced from 5 exons.